RNAcentral lists this ribosomal RNA (430 nucleotides) under uncultured bacterium. Its description in RNAcentral is "bacterial SSU rRNA". It matches the Rfam family "Bacterial small subunit ribosomal RNA", at positions 354 to 776 of the family's 1533-position model. The record is from RNAcentral.
GUCGAGAAUCUUCCACCAAUGUGCGAAAGCAUGAUGGAGCGACGCCGCGUGGGGGAUGAAGGCCUUCGGGUCGUAAACUCCUGUCACUUGGACCUAAAACCGUAGGGUUAAUAACCUUUGCGCUUGAAGUUCCUUGAGAGGAAGCACCGGCUAAAUUCGUGCCAGCAGCCGCGGUAAUACGAAUGGUGCAAGCGUUGUUCGGAAUCACUGGGCAUAAAGCGCGCGUAGGCGGCGGUAUAAGUCAGCUGUGAAAUCCCUCGGCUCAACCGAGGAACUGCAGCUGAAACUGUGCCGCUGGAGUGUGGGAGGGGAGAACGGAAUUCCUGGUGGAGCGGUGAAAUGCAUAGAUAUCAGGAGGAACGCCGGAGGCGAAAGCGGUUCUCUGGCCCACAACUGACGCUGAGGUGCGAAAGCUAGGGGAGCAAACAGG